CCUACGUGCGGCAGCAGUGAGGAAUAUUGGUCAAUGGCCGUAAGGCUGAACCAGCCAAGCCGCGUGAAGGAAGAAGGAUCUAUGGUUUGUAAACUUCUUUUAUAGGGGAAUAAAGGUAUCCACGUGUGGAUAUUUGCAUGUACCCUAUGAAUAAGCAUCGGCUAACUCCGUGCCAGCAGCCGCGGUAAUACGGAGGAUGUGAGCGUUAUCCGGAUUUAUUGGGUUUAAAGGGUGCGUAGGUUGUUGUUUAAGUCAGCGGUGAAAGCUUGUGGCUCAACCAUAAAAUUGCCGUUGAAACUGGAAGGCUUGAGUGUGUUUGAGGUAGGCGGAAUGCGUGGUGUAGCGGUGAAAUGCAUAGAUAUCACGCAGAACUCCGAUUGCGAAGGCAGCUUACUAAGCCAUAACUGACACUGAGGCACGAAAGCGUGGGGAUCAAACAGGAUUAGAUACCCUAGUAGUC
RNAcentral lists this ribosomal RNA (460 nucleotides) under uncultured bacterium. RNAcentral's name for it is "partial 16S ribosomal RNA". It matches the Rfam family "Bacterial small subunit ribosomal RNA", at positions 338 to 795 of the family's 1533-position model. The record is from RNAcentral.